This 1449-nucleotide ribosomal RNA is filed under the name uncultured organism. Its description in RNAcentral is "SSU rRNA". It matches the Rfam family "Bacterial small subunit ribosomal RNA". The record is from RNAcentral.
UGAACGCUAGCUACAGGCUUAACACAUGCAAGUCGAGGGGCAGCAUGGUCUUAGCUUGCUAAGGCCGAUGGCGACCGGCGCACGGGUGAGUAACACGUAUCCAACCUGCCGUCUACUCUUGGACAGCCUUCUGAAAGGAAGAUUAAUACAAGAUGGCAUCAUGAGUCCACAUGUUCACAUGAUUAAAGGUAUUCCGGUAGACGAUGGGGAUGCGUUCCAUUAGAUAGUAGGCGGGGUAACGGCCCACCUAGUCUUCGAUGGAUAGGGGUUCUGAGAGGAAGGUCCCCCACAUUGGAACUGAGACACGGUCCAAACUCCUACGGGAGGCAGCAGUGAGGAAUAUUGGUCAAUGGGCGAGAGCCUGAACCAGCCAAGUAGCGUGAAGGAUGACUGCCCUAUGGGUUGUAAACUUCUUUUAUAAAGGAAUAAAGUCGGGUAUGCAUACCCGUUUGCAUGUACUUUAUGAAUAAGGAUCGGCUAACUCCGUGCCAGCAGCCGCGGUAAUACGGAGGAUCCGAGCGUUAUCCGGAUUUAUUGGGUUUAAAGGGAGCGUAGAUGGAUGUUUAAGUCAGUUGUGAAAGUUUGCGGCUCAACCGUAAAAUUGCAGUUGAUACUGGAUAUCUUGAGUGCAGUUGAGGCAGGCGGAAUUCGUGGUGUAGCGGUGAAAUGCUUAGAUAUCACGAAGAACUCCGAUUGCGAAGGCAGCCUGCUAAGCUGCAACUGACAUUGAGGCUCGAAAGUGUGGGUAUCAAACAGGAUUAGAUACCCUGGUAGUCCACACGGUAAACGAUGAAUACUCGCUGUUUGCGAUAUACUGCAAGCGGCCAAGCGAAAGCGUUAAGUAUUCCACCUGGGGAGUACGCCGGCAACGGUGAAACUCAAAGGAAUUGACGGGGGCCCGCACAAGCGGAGGAACAUGUGGUUUAAUUCGAUGAUACGCGAGGAACCUUACCCGGGCUUAAAUUGCAGAUGAAUUACGGUGAAAGCCGUAAGCCGCAAGGCAUCUGUGAAGGUGCUGCAUGGUUGUCGUCAGCUCGUGCCGUGAGGUGUCGGCUUAAGUGCCAUAACGAGCGCAACCCUUGUUGUCAGUUACUAACAGGUUCUGCUGAGGACUCUGACAAGACUGCCAUCGUAAGAUGUGAGGAAGGUGGGGAUGACGUCAAAUCAGCACGGCCCUUACGUCCGGGGCUACACACGUGUUACAAUGGGGGGUACAGAGGGCCGCUACCACGCGAGUGGAUGCCAAUCCCAAAAACCUCUCUCAGUUCGGACUGGAGUCUGCAACCCGACUCCACGAAGCUGGAUUCGCUAGUAAUCGCGCAUCAGCCACGGCGCGGUGAAUACGUUCCCGGGCCUUGUACACACCGCCCGUCAAGCCAUGGGAGCCGGGGGUACCUGAAGUGCGUAACCGCGAGGAGCGCCCUAGGGUAAAACUGGUGACUGGGGCUA